UACGGGGGGUGCAAGCGUUGUUCGGAAUCAUUGGGCGUAAAGCGCGUGUAGGCGGCCGGAUAUGUCAGAUGUGAAAGUCCCGGGCUCAACUCGGGAAGUGCAUUUGAAACUGUUCGGCUAGAGUUAGGGAGAGGAAAGUGGAAUUCCUGGUGUAGAGGUGAAAUUCGCAGAUAUCAGGAGGAACACCGGUGGCGAAGGCGGCUUUCUGGCCCUCUACUGACGCUGAGACGCGAAAGCGUGGGGAGCAAAC
This 250-nucleotide ribosomal RNA is filed under the name uncultured bacterium. RNAcentral describes it as "partial 16S ribosomal RNA". It matches the Rfam family "Bacterial small subunit ribosomal RNA", at positions 524 to 773 of the family's 1533-position model. The record is from RNAcentral. RNAcentral also lists the same sequence under 1 other name.